CCGCCGCUCUCCACCGUCACUCUGGGCCUUCCAAUUCUGCAGAUGGGUUGUCUAUCAAAGACCUAAAGAAGCUCCCACAAUUCAAAUUUUCUAGGAGAUCGAAUCCUGAAGCCGAAGCCGAUUGUGUGGUUUGUUUGGAAGGGAUAAGGCAAGGUCAAUGGUGCAGAAAACUUAUCGGAUGUGGGCAUGUGUUCCAUAGGAAGUGUGUGGAUGCGUGGCUGGUUAAGGUCUCUGCGUGCCCCGUUUGUAGGACACGGGUUCGGUUGGGUUCGGGGACUCUGCUUGAGGAUAGGCCGCUGUGGGGAUUUGGUUGGACUAAUGAAUCUAGGGUUUGGUAGAUAUUGUAAGUUCUUGAUAAAAUUUCGAACUCUUUUUUUCUGUACCAUAUUUGAUUUAGAAUUUUGAAUUGCAGAAUUUCUGGUUUUGGCUUAUAAUUCUUGUUCAUGGGUGGGUUAUUGAGAAUAUGAAGUCACAAUUUGGAUUGCUAGAUUCAUGAUAGUUAGAUGCCAAAAGAAGAAUGAUGGGAAUUAAGAUUUUCUGAUUCGAAUAAUUUGAAAAAUAAUGAAUUCCAGGC
Molecule: unclassified non-coding RNA, 574 nt
Filed under: Hevea brasiliensis (rubber tree)
Lineage: Eukaryota; Viridiplantae; Streptophyta; Magnoliopsida; Malpighiales; Euphorbiaceae
Source: RNAcentral